This 2632-nucleotide ribosomal RNA is filed under the name Patescibacteria group bacterium. RNAcentral's name for it is "partial 23S ribosomal RNA". It matches the Rfam family "Bacterial large subunit ribosomal RNA", at positions 768 to 2580 of the family's 2925-position model. The record is from RNAcentral.
GGAGGCCCGAACCCGUGAGCCGUGCAAUACUCUGGGAUGAGCUGUGGUAAGAAGUGAAAAGCUAAUCGAGCUUGGUAAUAGCUGGUUCUCCCCGAAAUAGCUUUAGGGCUAGCGUCUUAUUAUUGUUUCCAGGGGUAGAGCACUGGAAGGAUUAUCUUGGGCUUUGCUCGGAUUUUCCUACCAAACUCCGAAUACUGGAAAUUUAAAUAAGGCAGUUAGACUGUGGGGGCUAAGCUCCAUAGUCAAAAGGGAAACAGCCCAGAUCUUCAUCUAAGGUCCCUAAAUCAAGCUAAGUGUUUUAAAGGAAGUGAAAUUCCUCUGAUAGCUAGGAGGUUAGCUUAGAAGCAGCUAUCCUUUGAAAAGUGCGUAAUAGCUUACUAGCUAAGGAAUUUUGCGCCAAAAAUUUACGGGGCUAAAGCUUGAUACCGAAGAUAAGAAGCCGUUGCUUCGCAACGGAAGCACCAAAUUACAAGCACCAAAUUACAAACAAUAUCCAAUGACCAAAAUUCUAAUGACCAAAAGUUUUGAAUUUAGAAUUUGGAAUUUAGAAUUUGUUUGUUAUUUGUAAUUUUGAAUUUGGGAUUUCCGCUGCGUAGCAGCGGUUGGUAGGGGAGCGUCCCUAACGCAACGAAGCCCACGACGUAAGUCGGGGUGGAGUAUUAGGGAGUGAGAAUGUUGGCAUGAGUAACCGCAAUCCCGUUGAGAGCACGGGACACCGAAAACCUGAGGUUUCCUUGGCAAUGGCGAUCAUCCAAGGGUUAGGCGGGCCUAAUCCGUCUACCGAAAGGUAGAUGAGAGAUGGACAGCCGGUUAAUAUUCCGGCCCCUCAGCAUCUUUUCGAAAAGGUGACGUAAUUUAGGAGACAAGCUGUAUUAUUGGAUUUACAGUUGAGUUCUGCUUUCGGGCAGGACGAACUUGUUGAAUAAGUUACCCAGAAAAGCCUAUAGAAUUAGAGAUGUUGGGUCCGUACCGCAAACCAACACAGGUAGGUUGGCAUAAGUGUGCUAAGGUGAACGAGUGAAAGCUCCUGAAGGAACUCGGCAAAAAAGCAGGCGUAACUUCGGAAUAUGCCUUGCCCCGCCUAUGGCGGGGCCGCAGCUAAAGUACCCUGGCGACUGUUUAUCAAAAACACAAAUCCCUGCUAAACUCGUAAGAGGAUGUAUAGGGGUUGAGGCCUGACCAGUGCUGGAACGUUAACAGCGGCGGUCCUUUUCUAUAUUUUAUAGGAUUGGGCUGACUGCUCGAAGCGCCAGUGAACGUCGGCGAUAACUAUAAUCGUCCAAAGGUAGCGUAAUCUCUUGCCAGGUAAGAAAAUUGCCUGUCUAAGAAGUGAUUCUUAGAAAAAAUUCGGCUAAUAACGAUGAAACCCAAAUUGUUCUAUGGUAUAAUAGAAUAAUGGGUAAUAUCGUGGGAAGUCUUCGUGACCCCGUAACGACUUUUUGCCCAAAAGGCAAAGGAUGGUGGUUUUACCCAUCAUAAUAUGCCGACGCUUGUUAAAAUGAAUUUAGAAUCGUAUAUCAGUGGAUAUGUAGAUGGGGAGGGAUGUUUUUGUAUCUCGAUCCAUCCACGCAAAAAGAAUAAGAUUGGCUGGGAAGCAGUAGCAAGUUUUUCAGUUGCUCAGAAUGAGAAUAGAGCAGAAGUGUUAAGGUUAAUUAAAGAUUAUUUUAAUUGUGGAUUUAUCAGAAGGAAUAUUGGCGAUAAGACAUUAAAAUACGAAACAAGAAAUCUUAAUAGUUUACUGACAAAAAUUAUCCCUCAUUUUGAGAAAUGUCCCUUGCAAUCUGGCAAACAAAAAGAUUUCGAAAUCUUUAAAAAAGUUUGUCAAAAGAUGAGUAGGGGAGAACAUUUAACAGAAAAAGGAAUGAUUAAAAUCAUGAAUUUAGUUUCUAAAAUGAAUCUUUCUGGAAAACGACGUUACAAUAAAGCAAUAAUUGUAGAUUCUUUUAACAAGAUGAAGAUAUAGUCUGUGCCAUUAGUAAUAAUGGAAAAACAUGAAGUUCUGGCCCGCAUGAAAGGCCUAACGACUGGGGAACUGUCUCCAGGAGCAGCUCGGUGAAAAUGCAGUACCGGUAAAGAUGCCGGUUACCUGCGGCUAGACGGAAAGACCCCGGGAGCUUUACUGUAGUUAGAUAUUGGGUUUUGGUUUUGGAUGCGUAGCGUAGAAGGUAGACUUUGAAGCUUUGUUUUCGGACGAAGUGGAGUCAACAAUGAAACACCUUUCUUUCAAAAUCUUAAUUCUAACCUCCGCCUUAGGCGGAGAUACAGUGUUUAACAGACAGUUUAAGUGGGGCACUUGCCUCCUAAAAGGUAAUGGAGGCGUUUAAAGGUCAGCUAGCUCCGGAUGGAAAUCGGAGUUGUCGGACAAAGCCAAAAGCUGGCUUUACUGCAAGGCGGAUAUGCUGCGCAGUUAGGAAACUAGAACUUAGUGAACCGACGGAUUUUAAUAGAAAAUCCGAAGAUUAUCAGCUAAAAGUUACCCCGGGGAUAACAGCUUAGUAGGGCCCGCGAGUCCAUAUCAACGGCCCUGUUCGAGACCUCGAUGUCGGCUUAAUGUAUAAAAUUGGGCCGCUUUCCAAGUAAUUGGAAUGACAAAAUGCAGCUAAUAACGGUGGACUCCAUUAGUUUUAAUUGU